Molecule: ribosomal RNA, 332 nt
Filed under: uncultured bacterium
Lineage: Bacteria
Description: bacterial SSU rRNA
Rfam family: Bacterial small subunit ribosomal RNA
Source: RNAcentral
CGUGUAGGCGGUCGGUCAAGUCGGGUGUGAAAGCCCGGGGCUCAGCUCCGGAAGUGCGCCCGAAACUAGCCGGCUGGAGCGCGAUAGAGGAGGGUGGAAUUCCUGGUGUAGCGGUGAAAUGCGUAGAUAUCAGGAGGAACACCGGCGGCGAAGGCGGCCCUCUGGAUCGUUGCUGACGCUGAGACGCGAAAGCGUGGGGAGCAAACAGGAUUAGAUACCCUGGUAGUCCACGCCUUAAACGAUGGGUACUAGGUGUUCGGGGUGUUGACCCCCUGAGUGCCGCAGCUAACGCAUUAAGUACCCCGCCUGGGGACUACGGCCGCAAGGUUAAA